AAAGAACAUGAGGUUUGUCUGUAUACAUUAUUCUAUGUGAUCUGUUAUUGAGACAGAAACUAUCUAUGAAAUAGGGAAAAAUCUCUCCAGUAAUGAUUAUCGUAACUGUGCAAGUGUGAUAAAUAUGUAAAAUUUAGGAUUUUCCCUCUUGGCAUCUUCAUAAACUUUUAUGAUGAAUUCAAAUUAUGUAUUAACCUGCAUAUAUUUCUGAAAGUAAAAUUUGCUGAAAAAGAUAUAUUACCAGUUGCCCAAAACCCUUGUAAUAGUGCUUUUCAAUGGAGAAUGAGUGGUACUCACAAUCUUAGAUAUUUUUAACAAAGCCAAGCUUCCUUUAGCUAUUUGGCACUAAUGUUAAAGGAGAUUAAGGAGUUAAUAUUUGUGUGGUUUUGUUCUGAAAUAGUUUGAACAUUGUUGUACUGUUUUGUAGGCCUAAGCUGCUAAUCUACUUUCUCAAAAUUCUUUCAACUUUUUGAAUAUGGAAGUUCAUGGGUGAUUAUGGAUUAUAUUUUGGUACCGGACAAAAUUAAGCAAAACUCGGCCUGUGCUUUAACAUGUGGCAUGCACUGGAUGGUGGAUACAACAUGCUUCAUUUUUUAUGUCUUGAUAUGAGUUUUCUUUUGACUAUUUAAAUGCAUAUGACUUUCUUGAGAUGCUGUGCUCCUUUCAAGCUUACCUGUUAUUUCUUCGUGUUUGGCUGGGAAUAUAACCUGUUGCUGUGUAAAUUUUUUGCAGAUCAGGACGAGCACA
RNAcentral lists this unclassified non-coding RNA (747 nucleotides) under Hevea brasiliensis (rubber tree). The record is from RNAcentral. Lineage: Eukaryota; Viridiplantae; Streptophyta; Magnoliopsida; Malpighiales; Euphorbiaceae.